Molecule: ribosomal RNA, 253 nt
Filed under: uncultured bacterium
Lineage: Bacteria
Also listed under: 1 other name
Description: partial 16S ribosomal RNA
Rfam family: Bacterial small subunit ribosomal RNA
Source: RNAcentral
GACAGAGGGUGCAAACGUUGUUCGGAAUUACUGGGCGUAAAGCGCAUGUAGGCGGCCUAGCAGGUCGGAUGUGAAAUCCCUCGGCUCAACCAAGGAAGUGCAUUCGAAACCGCAAGGCUGGAGUCCCGGAGAGGAUGGUGGAAUUCUCGGUGUAGAGGUGAAAUUCGUAGAUAUCGAGAGGAACACCGGCGGCGAAGGCGGCCAUCUGGACGAGGACUGACGCUGAGAUGCGAAAGCGUGGGGAGCAAACAGG